CAAGUUUUACACUGAGCUUCCUCCGGAUAAAUUGUUCAAAAACCCAACACCCUCGGUCCAGAUUCACACAUGACAACAUCACUCCGCAGGUCUACCUCCGGUUUCAACAAUAUUGGUACAAUGGAUAGACCGUCGUUAGCGCGUGAUCCCAGGAAAGCAAGGUAUUCUUGAUUGUUUUCUCCAUUGCCAAGAGUUUAGUAACCCAUCAGAGACAUCACCUGCAGCCCUGAGAAGCAGUAGCAAAGUCAUGGGAAGCCCUUCAGCCGUGUAGGCCGGUUCAUUGAAGCCAAGGCAUCCGAUCGUUGUUGCUUUGCAACGGAAAUCGUUGGUGUGGAGUCCACUCAAGUUAAAAGGCCAAGAAGGUUCCAUAUUAACCAUUGACGGCUGCUGAAGGAGUGGCAGCCACUAGGUUUUGCUGGGAAAAAAGGAGGA
Long non-coding RNA from Gossypium arboreum, 432 nucleotides. RefSeq lists it as uncharacterized. The transcript has 2 exons. The record is from RefSeq and is a predicted model, not a curated record. Lineage: Eukaryota; Viridiplantae; Streptophyta; Magnoliopsida; Malvales; Malvaceae.